UACGAAGGGGGCGAGCGUUGUUCGGAAUUACUGGGCGUAAAGGGCGCGUAGGCGGCCGAUCAAGUCAGAUGUGAAAGUCCUGGGCUUAACCUGGGGACUGCAUUUGAUACUGAUUGGCUUGAAUUCGGGAGAGGAUAGCGGAAUUCCCAGUGUAGAGGUGAAAUUCGUAGAUAUUGGGAAGAACACCGGUGGCGAAGGCGGCUAUCUGGACCGACAUUGACGCUGAGACGCGAAAGCGUGGGGAGCGAACAGG
Molecule: ribosomal RNA, 253 nt
Filed under: uncultured bacterium
Lineage: Bacteria
Description: partial 16S ribosomal RNA
Rfam family: Bacterial small subunit ribosomal RNA
Source: RNAcentral